CAGUAGCCACGGGAAUACGGAGGGGGCUAGCGUUGUUCGGAAUUACUGGGCGUAAAGCGCACGCAGGCGGUUUGUUAAGUCAGAUGUGAAAUCCCCGAGCUUAACUUGGGAGCUGCAUUUGAAACUGGCAAGCUAGAGUCUUGUAGAGGGGGGUAGAAUUCCAGGUGUAGCGGUGAAAUGCGUAGAGAUCUGGAGGAAUACCGGUGGCGAAGGCGGCCCCCUGGACAAAGACUGACGCUCAGGUGCGAAAGCGUGGGGAGCAAACAGGAUUAGAUACCCCUGUAGUCCCUGUCUCUUAUAC
RNAcentral lists this ribosomal RNA (301 nucleotides) under uncultured bacterium. Its description in RNAcentral is "partial 16S ribosomal RNA". It matches the Rfam family "Bacterial small subunit ribosomal RNA", at positions 509 to 807 of the family's 1533-position model. The record is from RNAcentral.